RNAcentral lists this unclassified non-coding RNA (243 nucleotides) under Hevea brasiliensis (rubber tree). The record is from RNAcentral. Lineage: Eukaryota; Viridiplantae; Streptophyta; Magnoliopsida; Malpighiales; Euphorbiaceae.
GGGAAACUACUCAAAAUCCCUCCAUAUCUAGUGAAAAGGCGUAAACAGCAUUUCCACCAUCUAGAUCAGUAUGGAGUUGACUUGAUUUUUGGCUGCAAUGGAUUAAUUUGGGUUGGGGAACACAUUGAUGUAAAAGAUGUAAUGGUGGAGGAUCAAGUAAAUAAGUCCGAUCCACAGAACACCCAUUUAUCAAGCUUACCAGGUUCUAGUGAAGAACCAACUGAUACACCACUGGAAAUAAGA